AGAACUGGCUGUUGGGUGCCGUUAGGCACUUGGUAGCGAAGCAAACGCGUUAAGUUCUCCGCCUGGGGAGUACGGUCGCAAGAUUAAAACUCAAAGGAAUUGACGGGGGCCCGCACAAGCGGUGGAGCAUGUGGUUUAAUUCGACGCAACGCGAAGAACCUUACCUACCCUUGACAUGCUUGGAAUUCUGUAGAGAUAUGGAAGUGCCCGCGAGGGAGCCAAGACACAGGUGCUGCAUGGCUGUCGUCAG
RNAcentral lists this ribosomal RNA (250 nucleotides) under uncultured bacterium. RNAcentral's name for it is "partial 16S ribosomal RNA". It matches the Rfam family "Bacterial small subunit ribosomal RNA", at positions 812 to 1058 of the family's 1533-position model. The record is from RNAcentral.